This 36-nucleotide ribosomal RNA is filed under the name Rhizomucor pusillus. RNAcentral's name for it is "partial 28S ribosomal RNA". Lineage: Eukaryota; Fungi; Mucoromycota; Mucoromycetes; Mucorales; Lichtheimiaceae. The record is from RNAcentral.
GAUCUGAACUUAGAUGGGAUUACCCGCUGAACUUAA